GGGGUUUGCGUCCGAUUAGGUAGUUGGUUGAGGUAACGGCCCACCAAGCCGACGAUCGGUAGCCGGUCUGAGAGGAUGAACGGCCACAUUGGAACUGAGACACGGUCCAGACUCCUACGGGAGGCAGCAGUGGGGAAUCUUCCGCAAUGGGCGAAAGCCUGACGGAGCAACGCCGCGUGAGUGAAGACGGCCUUCGGGUUGUAAAACUCUGUGAUUCGGGACGAAAGAUAAGUAGACGAAUAAUCUGCAUAAGUGACGGUACCGAAAAAGCAAGCCACGGCUAACUACGUGCCAGCAGCCGCGGUAAAU
This 309-nucleotide ribosomal RNA is filed under the name uncultured Dialister sp. RNAcentral describes it as "bacterial SSU rRNA". It matches the Rfam family "Bacterial small subunit ribosomal RNA", at positions 226 to 525 of the family's 1533-position model. Lineage: Bacteria; Bacillati; Bacillota; Negativicutes; Veillonellales; Veillonellaceae. The record is from RNAcentral.